GGAAGGGGUGUAUUUAUUAGAUUAAAAACCAAUGCCCUUCAGGGGCUCUCUGGUGAUUCAUGAUAACUUCUCGAAUCGCAUGGCCUUGCGCCGGCGAUGGUUCAUUCAAAUUUCUUCCCUAUCAACUUUCGAUGUUUGGGUAUUGGCCAAACAUGGUUGCAACGGGUAACGGAGGGUUAGGGCUCGACCCCGGAGAAGGAGCCUGAGAAACGGCUACUACAUCCAAGGAAGGCAGCAGGCGCGCAAAUUACCCAAUCCCGACUCGGGGAGGUAGUGACAAUAAAUACUGAUACAGGGUUCUUUCGGAUCUUGUAAUUGGAAUGAGUACAAUUUAAAUCCCUUAACGAGGAACAAUUGGAGGGCAAGUCUGGUGCCAGCAGCCGCGGUAAUUCCAGCUCCAAUAGCGUAUAUUAAAGUUGUUGUGGUUAAAAAGCUCGUAGUUGAACCUUGGGCCUGGCUGGCCGGUCCGCCUCACCGCGUGUACUGGUCCGGCCGGGCCUUUCCCUCUGUGGAACCCUAUGCCCUUCACUGGGUGUAGCGGGGAACCAGGACUUUUAC
RNAcentral lists this ribosomal RNA (558 nucleotides) under uncultured Sordariomycetidae. RNAcentral describes it as "SSU rRNA". It matches the Rfam family "Eukaryotic small subunit ribosomal RNA", at positions 194 to 755 of the family's 1831-position model. The record is from RNAcentral. Lineage: Eukaryota; Fungi; Ascomycota; Sordariomycetes.